AAAACAGAAUUUGGGUCACAUUUGCAUUAUAUUUCAAAGUUUUGAGGUUGCUAGUCUUAUGAGGAGGCAGGUAGGGUGUCAUUAUAUUUGUUUUACAGAUGAGGACACUGAGGUCCAGGGAGACAAAAUGGCACUCCCCAAGUCCCCUCGCUGGUCAGGGCUGUCCAGGACUGGAUGCCAGGCCUCCUGAUUUCUGGUUACUGUAGCCAGCAUGAGGCUGGGACACUGUGCUCUGCCUUUCAGGGGUUGGAGUGCUUAGCGGACAGCUGUACGCCACAGGUGGGCAUGAUGGGCCUUUGGUGAGGAAGAGCGUUGAGGUUUACGAUCCUGGAACAAAUACCUGGAAGCAAGUGGCAGACAUGAACAUGUGCCGGCGCAAUGCAGGUAAUGACUGCUCUCUCCAUCUCCCCUUUGGGGGUUGUGUGCCUUUUCUCCCUGAAGACACUGGCUCUAAACAACAGGGAGAUUUCCCAGGGUCUGGAGCUGAGUGUAUAUCCUGAACAGGGAGUGUUCAUUUGCCAGGUGGGCUCUCGGUUAGAGGAGGGGAGAAAUUGAGACCCCAAAAGCUAGCUGCAGAUCCUGCAACCUAGAUGCAGAGGAUCCCCUUUCCCCCCAGUGAAGGUGGCAAUAGAGGACCCUUGUUGUACUUCUUGUUUAAUUUGCAUAUUAUGUGUAAAAUACUUUCUUUGAAAGAAAACUGAAGACACUGAAUGUGUAUGUCUGUGUGGGUGCUCUGUCCCUGUGGUUGUCGUAGCCAGUCAGACUUGAUCACUGACACCCCGUACAACAUAUUGCAUAGGUAAGAUCCUCGAUCUGGUGUUCUCUGCA
RNAcentral lists this small RNA (828 nucleotides) under Pongo abelii (Sumatran orangutan). Its description in RNAcentral is "retained intron". The record is from RNAcentral. Lineage: Eukaryota; Metazoa; Chordata; Mammalia; Primates; Hominidae.